GAUGAACGCUAGCUACAGGCUUAACACAUGCAAGUCGAGGGGCAUCGAGGAGUUAGCUUGCUAAUUCUGUCGGCGACCGGCGCACGGGUGAGUAACGCGUAUCCAACCUUCCCCUUAGUAGGGCAUAGCCCGGCGAAAGUCGGAUUAAUACCCUAUGUUGUUCAUCGCAGGCAUCUAAAGUGAACCAAAGAUUUAUUGCUAAGGGAUGGGGAUGCGUCUGAUUAGGUUGUUGGCGGGGUAACGGCCCACCAAGCCAUCGAUCAGUAGGGGUUCUGAGAGGAAGGUCCCCCACAUUGGAACUGAGACACGGUCCAAACUCC
RNAcentral lists this ribosomal RNA (320 nucleotides) under uncultured Prevotella sp. Its description in RNAcentral is "bacterial SSU rRNA". It matches the Rfam family "Bacterial small subunit ribosomal RNA", at positions 28 to 339 of the family's 1533-position model. The record is from RNAcentral. Lineage: Bacteria; Pseudomonadati; Bacteroidota; Bacteroidia; Bacteroidales; Prevotellaceae.